CAGUAGCCGCGGGAAUACGUAGGGGGCAAGCGUUAUCCGGAUUUACUGGGUGUAAAGGGAGCGCAGACGGCAGUGCAAGUCUGAAGUGAAAGGCGUGGGCUCAACCCAUGAACUGCUUUGGAAACUGUAUAGCUUGAGUGUCGGAGGGGUAAGCGGAAUUCCUAGUGUAGCGGUGAUAUGCGUAGAUAUUAGGAGGAACACCGGAGGCGAAGGCGGCUUACUGGACGACAACUGACGUUGAGGCUCGAAGGCGUGGGGAGCAAACAGGAUUAGAUACCCGCGUAGUCCCUGUCUCUUAUAC
Molecule: ribosomal RNA, 301 nt
Filed under: uncultured bacterium
Lineage: Bacteria
Description: partial 16S ribosomal RNA
Rfam family: Bacterial small subunit ribosomal RNA
Source: RNAcentral